This 72-nucleotide transfer RNA is filed under the name Camelus bactrianus (Bactrian camel). It matches the Rfam family "tRNA". Rfam says of the family: Transfer RNA (tRNA) molecules are approximately 80 nucleotides in length. Their secondary structure includes four short double-helical elements and three loops (D, anti-codon, and T loops). Lineage: Eukaryota; Metazoa; Chordata; Mammalia; Artiodactyla; Camelidae. The record is from Rfam by way of RNAcentral. RNAcentral also lists the same sequence under 2 other names.
GAGGGUAUAGCUCGGUGGUAGAGCAUGUGCUCAGCAUUCACAAGGUCCUGGGUUCAAUCCUCAGUACCUCCA